Molecule: ribosomal RNA, 253 nt
Filed under: uncultured bacterium
Lineage: Bacteria
Description: partial 16S ribosomal RNA
Rfam family: Bacterial small subunit ribosomal RNA
Source: RNAcentral
UACGGAGGGUGCAAGCGUUGCUCGGAAUUAUUGGGCGUAAAGCGCGCGCAGGUGGUUUCUUAAGUCUGAUGUGAAAGCCCACGGCUCAACCGUGGAGGGUCAUUGGAAACUGGGGAACUUGAGUGCAGGAGAGAAGAGUGGAAUUCCACGUGUAGCGGUGAAAUGCGUAGAGAUGUGGAGGAACACCAGUGGCGAAGGCGACUCUUUGGCCUGUAACUGACACUGAGGCGCGAAAGCGUGGGGAGCAAACAGG